GUGGGGAAUCUUGCGCAAUGGGCGAAAGCCUGACGCAGCCAUGCCGCGUGAAUGAUGAAGGUCUUAGGAUUGUAAAAUUCUUUCACCGGGGACGAUAAUGACGGUACCCGGAGAAGAAGCCCCGGCUAACUUCGUGCCAGCAGCCGCGGUAAUACGAAGGGGGCUAGCGUUGCUCGGAAUUACUGGGCGUAAAGGGCGCGUAGGCGGACAGCUUAGUCAGAGGUGAAAGCCCAGGGCUCAACCUUGGAAUUGCCUUUGAUACUGGCUGUCUUGAGUUUGGGAGAGGUGAGUGGAACUCCGGGUGUAGAGGUGAAAUUCGUAGAUAUUCGGAAGAACACCAGUGGCGAAGGCGACUCACUGGCCCAAUACUGACGCUGAGGCGCGAAAGCGUGGGGAGCAAACAGGAUUAGAAACCCGGGUAGUCC
Molecule: ribosomal RNA, 425 nt
Filed under: uncultured bacterium
Lineage: Bacteria
Description: partial 16S ribosomal RNA
Rfam family: Bacterial small subunit ribosomal RNA
Source: RNAcentral